UAAUAAAAAAAAUAUAAUAAACAUAAAAAAUACAAGGAAUAAAACUAAAAUCUAACUAAUGAGAGGAAAGAAUGAACAUAUGGAAAGAAAGGAGAUGGGAAAUGAGAUAUUUCCUCUUUUUUUCUUCUUAUUGAUGGGUUGGUACAGAUAAGAGCUAAGGAGGGAUGGAAAUGGCUUCUUGUUUCUUUAAUUUUACCAAAACCAAUGAGAUGUAACUUAAAAUUUAUUUGUUGUAGGGGAUAAAAAUAAAAAUUUGUUAAUUUCACUUCCUUUUUUUGGGGAUGAUAGCGGGUAAAAUAUUUAUAAAAAUUACUCUAUUUAAAUUCGAA
This 329-nucleotide unclassified non-coding RNA is filed under the name Hevea brasiliensis (rubber tree). Lineage: Eukaryota; Viridiplantae; Streptophyta; Magnoliopsida; Malpighiales; Euphorbiaceae. The record is from RNAcentral.